RNAcentral lists this ribosomal RNA (407 nucleotides) under uncultured bacterium. Its description in RNAcentral is "partial 16S ribosomal RNA". It matches the Rfam family "Bacterial small subunit ribosomal RNA", at positions 30 to 526 of the family's 1533-position model. The record is from RNAcentral.
AUUGAACGCUAGCGGGAUGCCUUACACAUGCAAGUCGAACGGAGUGGAGAACGGGUGCGUACUGUCACGGAACGUGCACAGUAGCGGGGGAUAAGUAUGCGAAAGCGUAGCUAAUACCGCAUACUAUUGGCACUGCCGAUAUCGGUUUAGCUAGUUGGUGGGGUAACGGCUCACAAAGGCGACGUUCCGUAGCUGGGUUGAGAGGACGACCAGUCACACUGGGACUGAGACACGGCCCAGACUCCUACGGGAGGCAGCAGUGGGUAAUUUUGGACAAUGGGGGAAACCCGGAUCCAGCCAGCCCGCGUGUGUGAUGAAGGCCUUCGGGUUGUAAAGCACUUUUGGCAGGAAAGCGGUACCUGCAGAAUAAGCACCGGCUAACUACGUGCCAGCAGCCGCGGUAAUAC